This 73-nucleotide transfer RNA is filed under the name Hydrogenobacter thermophilus. Its description in RNAcentral is "tRNA-Thr". It matches the Rfam family "tRNA". Rfam says of the family: Transfer RNA (tRNA) molecules are approximately 80 nucleotides in length. Their secondary structure includes four short double-helical elements and three loops (D, anti-codon, and T loops). The record is from RNAcentral. RNAcentral also lists the same sequence under 12 other names. Lineage: Bacteria; Pseudomonadati; Aquificota; Aquificia; Aquificales; Aquificaceae.
GCCCAGGUAGCUCAGUAGGCAGAGCACACCCUUGGUAAGGGUGAGGUCGCCGGUUCAAGUCCGGUCCUGGGCU